This 16-nucleotide ribosomal RNA is filed under the name Fagus grandifolia (American beech). Its description in RNAcentral is "partial 28S ribosomal RNA". Lineage: Eukaryota; Viridiplantae; Streptophyta; Magnoliopsida; Fagales; Fagaceae. The record is from RNAcentral. RNAcentral also lists the same sequence under 1 other name.
CGCGACCCCAGUCAGG